This 1494-nucleotide long non-coding RNA is filed under the name Sparus aurata (gilthead seabream). RNAcentral's name for it is "lncRNA (ENSSAUG00010013985.1)". Lineage: Eukaryota; Metazoa; Chordata; Actinopteri; Spariformes; Sparidae. The record is from RNAcentral.
GGGAGGGGCAAGUAGAGCGUGGUUUGCAUAUUAUUUGAGAAGGUGAUGGCAGCAGCCUGCGGGAAGGCGGGGCUGGACGGUCCAGCCAUAAUACACCAUGUUAGGGGCCCGUGUGCCGGCCGUCUCUGGGCAACACAGAGUCCAGCUACCUCGCGGACUUUUCUUCAAGCUCUCUCCUGAUGUGUCCAAGUCUCUGUGUAACUGAUUCUGUCCCGGAGCUCGUGAGCUCCGGUCUUUAUAUGCAUAUGGACUGUGGUGGUAGUACCGGGCGCCGAGGACGGAGCAUUAGCCACAGCUAGCACAACAGUAGAACAGCCUGUUGUUCCGAGCCGGGCUGCCUAGCCGACAGCAGCGCUCUGGUCUGCUCCCCGAGCUCUGUGCCACCGCACCGCUACCGGAGACCGGAGCUCCCCUAUAAACUCAGUUCAUGUGAAUAAUAUCACUAUUCCUACAGUGACUCCUUUGAGUCGAAGCGAAUAAACUCAACAAGUCAGUGUGCAGGUAAAGUCAGCUGUGAUUGUGCUACUGUGGUUCAUAGUAAAGUACAACAGACGGCUGUAAUCAAGUAACAGACACAUAUUUUCAUAACUGACUGACUUUUCUCCCAGCACUCUCCUUUAUUGUCCGGUCUCGGUAUGCGUGUGCAGCGGUGCGGUGUUAAAGAGCUCGGGGAGCAGACGGAGCGCUGCAGUCGGCGAGGCAGCCCCGGCUCGGAGCGACACAGCUGAGGCUAAUGCUCGUUAGCUCCGUACUACUACCACACUCCAUACGCAUAUAGAGACUCCAGUCUCCGGUAGCGGUGCGGUGGCACAGAGCUCGGAGAGCAGACCAGAGCGCUGCUGUCGGCGCUGCAGCCCCGGCUCGGAGCGACAGGCUAUUCUACUGUUGUGCUAACUGUGGCUAAUGCUCCGUGCUCGGCGCCCCGGUACUACUACCACACUCCAUAUGCGGAGCUCGGGAGCUCAGGGACAGAACCAGAUACACAGAGACUUGGACACAUCAGGAGAGAGCUUGAAGAAAAGUCUGCGAGGUAGUUGGACUCUGUGUUGCCCAGAGACGGCCUGCUACAACGACUCAGGUGGUCCGACCGGUCCUGCUGCCUUCAGGUGUUUGUUGGAACAACAGAUCCUCAUACCUGAGCAGCUGAACAGGUGAUAUGGGUCCUGGAGGUUCUGACCCUCAGUCUGUGUUCACGCCCUGACAGGAGCUCAGGUGAGAUGACUCACCUGAGCUCCUGUCAUAACAAGCUUUCAUUAAUCCUUCUGUCUGCUCGCUGUGAACCGCUCUGUUCUCUUUCACCUGUGGACAGGUGAGACAUUUACAACCUCCCAGUCUUCUUCUGGUCACCUGAGACACCUCGUGCUGCUUCUGCCUCCAUGGACUUUAACCCGAGCACCUCACCUGAGCACCUCACCUGAGCGCCUCACCUGAGCUCAGCUGACAGGCAGCAGUGAGAGUCCGUCAUGAGGAGACGUCUCUUCCUGUUGGGGAUUU